CGUGAGCGCCUCCAAUCCAUCGUUAAAUAAAGAAAGAUAAAGAGCCCUCCCGUUCUUUGGACCCCGAUCUGUCUGCAGCAAGGAAGUCUUAGUGUCUCCUCCUCCCUUCCCCCUCCCCUCUCUCGUUUCUGUUUCCUUGUCGAAUAUUUCUGGACGCAUAACCAAAUGGCGGAGGAAGAAGGUUCGAUUCGGGAUGAUUCUCCGAUCGAGUAAGUUCGGUUGACGGUGCCUUAUGGUGUGUAGUUUCUCGGAUAUAGGUUUGCUGGCAUAUUCAUGAAGUUGCUAGUGGACUCGCCCUAUAUGUGGUGGCCUUCGACUCCAGUAGUCGUCUCCUUCUACAGGCUGCGUGCCCCUUUUUCUUUUGGUCGUCUCUUCUAAACAAUGCAAAGAAGGAAAGAGUUCACUUUUGUUUGUUUAACGUGUGUCUUUGUUGUUUCGCGCUUGCAGAGUAUUACAUGAGCCGGAGGAAAGAGCUAAGGGAAAAUUGUUACGAUAUCAGUUCAUCAUCAUAGUCUUCGUUCAUAAGCAGAUCAAUAUGGCAAUCAGUUUGCCAAGUCACAUCAGAGUCAAAGGCAAGAUAUCCACACGAGAUUGAUGAAGCAAAAUUAUGAGUCUAUUCCCUGGUGGUUCUACUCUACACUAUUCUCGAUGAUGGGUUUUGUGAUCCUCGUAUGUGAAAUAUUUAGUGAGCAACUUCAACUUCGUUACUGGGGAGUUCUAUUGGCUUGUGCCUUGGUGUUUAUAUUUUUGUUUCCAGACGGUGUACUUGCAGCCACUGCUAAUUCGGGGUUUUCAGUAAAGCUUUUCUUGGAGAUCAUAAUUGGAUACUUGUAUCCCGGUAGACCUAUUGCAAAUAUAGCAUUCACAACAUAUGGUUUUUUGCACUUUACUAGUAUGCUGAAGACAUCGCAUUAUAUGAAGAUUCCUCCAAAAAUAAUUUUCUUGGUGCAGGUAUUUAUGGAACAUUAUGCUAUAUUCUCAUCUAGUGUUAGAAUAGAUUUGAGAAUUGCAAUAUAUACUUACAUGCAUAUCUCAAAAUUUGAAUUUAAUUAUAUUACUAAAUUACCUUCACCAUGUUUCUUUGCAUGUAGAUUUUAGGUACCCUAUUGUCAUUAGUGAUUGGCUUUACUGUUGCAUGGUGGUUCUUUAUAUUCAGUAAAAAAUAUAUAUCAUCCGGAAUUAUUGUCAAAAGGAAGUCCUUGGACAUGCCCCACCGAAAGAAUUUUUUUUCC
Musa acuminata AAA Group (dessert banana) is the source of this 1232-nucleotide long non-coding RNA. RefSeq lists it as uncharacterized. NCBI's taxonomy places the organism in Eukaryota, Viridiplantae, Streptophyta, Magnoliopsida, Zingiberales, Musaceae. The transcript has 5 exons. The record is from RefSeq and is a predicted model, not a curated record.